RNAcentral lists this ribosomal RNA (1291 nucleotides) under Cucujoidea sp. 30 KM-2017. Its description in RNAcentral is "16S ribosomal RNA". The stretch from base 1050 to 1208 matches the Rfam family "Archaeal large subunit ribosomal RNA", at positions 2542 to 2701 of the family's 2987-position model. The record is from RNAcentral. Lineage: Eukaryota; Metazoa; Arthropoda; Insecta; Coleoptera.
AUAAAAAAAAUUAUUUAAGUUAAUUUUGUUUAAGUAAGUUAAUUAAAAUAUUAUAGGUUUUAUUAUAUAAAUUGAAAAAAUAAAUUUAAUUAUAGUUUAAUAGUAUUGUGAAAGAAUAUAAAUUUAUAUAUAAAAAAGAAAAAUUUAUUUUUUGUACCUUGUGUAUCAGGGUUAAUUAAAUAUAAAAUUUAUAUAAAUUAUUCUCGAAUUUAAAAGAGCUAAUAUUUUAUAUUUUUUAUUGUGGAAUAAAUAUUAUUAAUAAAAUAUUAGAAAUGAAACGUUAUUCGUUUUUAAAUAUAUCUAGUUUUUAAAGAAAAAAAUUUAAUUUGUUAAUUAUUUAGAAUUUUUUUUAUUAUUAAAAAAAUUAUAAUAAUUAGUUAUAUUUUAAGGGAUAAGCUUUAAAAUAAAUUUUUAUAAAAAUAAUAAUUUAUUUAUUAAUUGUAGGAUUAGAAUUUUUUAUCAUUAAAAAAAUGUUAUAAUUUAUUAUAUUUGAUUUAAUAUUUAUAUUUUUUUUAAGUUUUUUAUUUAAAUGUUAUUUAAAAUUUUAUUUAUUUAGUAAUAAUGAUUAAAUUAGUAUAAUUUAUUUUAAAAAUAUUUUUUAGUAUUAAGGUUUUUUAAAGGAAUUCGGCAAAAGAUUUUUUUACCUGUUUAUUAAAAACAUGUCCUUUUGAUUUUUAUAUAAGGUCUAACCUGCCCAAUGAUGAGAAUUAAAUGGCCGCGGUAUCCUGACCGUGCAAAGGUAGCAUAAUCAUUAGUUUUUUAAUUGAAAGCUGGAAUGAAAGGUUGAAUAAGAAAAAUACUGUCUCUAAAAAAUUUAUAUUAGAACUUUAUUUUUAAGUAAGAAAGCUUAAAUUUUUUUUAAAGACGAGAAGACCCUUUAGAGUUUUAUUUAAAUUAAAAUUUUAUUUUUUUAGUAUUAAUUUAUUUAAUUUUUUAAUUUAAAUUUGAUUGGGGUGAUUGAAAAAUUUAAUAAACUUUUUUUUUAUUUUUACAUUAAUUUAUGAUUUUAUGAUCCAAUGUUUUUGAUUAUAAGAAUAAAUUACCUAAGGGAUAACAGCGUUAUUUUUUUUGAGAGUUCUUAUCGAAAAAAAAGAUUGCGACCUCGAUGUUGGAUUAAAAUUAAAUUAUGGUGUAGAAGCUAUAACUUUAGGUCUGUUCGACCUUUAAAAUUUUACAUGAUCUGAGUUUAAACCGGUGUGAGCCAGGUUGGUUUCUAUCUUAAAAUUUUUAUAAUAUUUUAGUACGAAAGGAUCAAGUAUUAAAUUAAUAAUUUUAUUUACAGAAUAUUAUU